GAUGAACGCUGGCGGCGUGCCUAAUACAUGCAAGUCGAGCGAACGGACGAGAACUUUGCUCCUCUGAUGUUAGCGGCGGACGGGUGAGUAACACGUGGAUAACCUCCCUAUAAGACUGGGAUAACUUCGGGAAACCGGAUCUAAUCCCGGAUAAUUUUUUGAUCCGCAUGUUUCAAAAUUGAAAUACGGUCUUGCUGUUACUUAUUGAUGGUUCCGCGCUGCAUUAGCUAGUUGGUAAGGUAACGGCUUACCAAGGCAACGAUGCAUAGCCGACCUGAGAGGGUGAUCGGCCACACUGGAACUGAGACACGGUCCAGACUCCUACGGGAGGCAGCAGUAGGGAAUCUUCCGCAAUGGGCGAAAGCCUGACGGAGCAACGCCGCGUGAGUGAUGAAGGUCUUCGGAUCGUAAAACUCUGUUAUUAGGGAAGAACAUAUGUGUAAGUAAAUGUGCACAUCGUGACGGUACCUAAUCAGAAAGCCACGGCUAACUACGUG
RNAcentral lists this ribosomal RNA (497 nucleotides) under uncultured bacterium. RNAcentral describes it as "partial 16S ribosomal RNA". It matches the Rfam family "Bacterial small subunit ribosomal RNA", at positions 28 to 507 of the family's 1533-position model. The record is from RNAcentral.